RNAcentral lists this unclassified non-coding RNA (211 nucleotides) under plant metagenome. Its description in RNAcentral is "partial contains small subunit ribosomal RNA, internal transcribed spacer 1, and 5.8S ribosomal RNA". The record is from RNAcentral.
CAUCCGUAGGUGAACCUGCGGAAGGAUCAUUCAUAAUAAGUGUUUUAUGGCACUUUUUUAAAUCCAUAUCCACCUUGUGCAAUGUCAGGGUUGAUUUUUCUCUCGAGAGGAUCAGCACCAAACAUCAACUAUAUUUCAACUCUUUUUCUUAUAAAUAUUAUGAAUAAAAAAAUUCAAAAUACAACUUUCAACAACGGAUCUCUUGGUUCUC